This 253-nucleotide ribosomal RNA is filed under the name uncultured bacterium. Its description in RNAcentral is "partial 16S ribosomal RNA". It matches the Rfam family "Bacterial small subunit ribosomal RNA", at positions 524 to 776 of the family's 1533-position model. The record is from RNAcentral.
UACGAAGGGGGCUAGCGUUGCUCGGAAUCACUGGGCGUAAAGGGUGCGUAGGCGGGUUUUUAAGUCAGGGGUGAAAUCCUGGAGCUCAACUCCAGAACUGCCUUUGAUACUGAAGAUCUUGAGGCUGGAAGAGGUUAGUGGAAUUCCCAGUGUAGAGGUGAAAUUCGUAGAUAUUGGGAAGAACACCAGUGGCGAAGGCGGCUAACUGGUCCAGAUCUGACGCUGAGGUGCGAAAGCGUGGGGAGCAAACAGG